GCAACAAUGCUUGCCGUCACGCUCAUCAACCAAGCGGCGAGGUGAAGCUACCGCUGCUAAAAAUCGUGUUGGAACCUUGAGGCAGUGGACAGUCCAGGGAAUUAGCAUAUAAAAUGCAGUAUGUAGCUGGCCUUGAUGUUUCAUGCUAGAGGGACAUGUAAUUGUUUAGCAACUAAGAAGCUUCAACCAUGUUUACGUGACACAGUCUGCUAAGAUCAUCUGUGAGGAGUAUCCUGGAUCAAAGUAUCAGACAUGGAAAUGCCUGCCUAUUCUUUACGCAAGAAAAUUGAUGUAUUUCUCGGAAUAUGGAUAAUUACACUUGAAGAAGCAAGGCAUGAAAAAGAGUAAUGAAUAUUCUUCCAAGCAUAUCUAUAAUUAGUACCAUGCAUGUGAUGAUGUGCUACAUAGGAUUUUUUUUUGGUGUGAAGAAUACUUCUUUUAGUAUUUCUCAUUUUAAAAAUUCACCUUUACUAAGCAUUGCAUAUAGUUUGUUGCCAUCUGUAAUUUUUAUGGCGAUCUGGCAAUGAUAGUACAAAUAUAUUCACGAGAGAUAUUGUUUCUUUUAUUUCUUUGUGGAGCCUUGCAGUGAUAUUUAUCUAUUUGUGAUAAAAUACUAACUCUGCACACUAAAUCCUGAAUGGAGUUUGUUUUAACAAAGUGUAUGUGGUUUUGACAAAAAAAGGUAAGAGUUUAUUUUAACACAGUGUAUGUGGGUUUGACAAAAAAAAAGUCAGUUUAUCAGAUCAAGAAGGAGAUGGACGAGGAAUUUGGCUUGGGACUGCUAGCUCCUCCAUAGUUCAGAUUAUGUCUUACCACGUUGACAGAGUGUAGUCUCCAUUGUGAGAGCUGACACACUGUUCCUUCCAUUUUUUAAAAGAAAUUCUACUCGGCAAUCUUUAUUUACAAAAAAUUAGCUCAAGAAGAAGAUGGAGGAGGAGCUAGCAGUCCCAAGCAAAGCAACAGGAAAAUAAAUAACCUCUAUUACUUUUUGUCAAGGCACGCAAUUGAUCCUUGGAAGACUUCCACCUAUUCAUGCACGGGCCCUUUAUUUUCUAUGACUCUGCCAACGUGGUCAAGCAUGUGUGGCCGCCGACGCAUCAUGGAUGCUCUUGUCAAAUUUCAUGAAGGUUGUGGGUGGCUUUAGUGGCUCAGCGGCCAAAAUGGUUGAAUUCAAGAACAUGGUAUGUCCCAUGGCUCCUUUCUCAAUGAUUGUAAAUACACAGUACUAUAUGCUUGCGCAAUGAGUUACGGCAAUAUGGCAGUGAAAAUGCCCGAUGAUGAAUCUUCGAGCAUGCUUGUUCGACAGGAAUCAGCCUUUUAUUAGUUAGGAUUUUAAUGAGCUGAUGUUCUUACAACAUUUCGAACAAUAUGGCCAUCAAACUACCUUAUUUUUUCUAACCAUACUGCUCACUGCCUUCUGGUUCUAGGAUUUAAGUUUGAUAUAAACAAUUCCUGAAUCACUGCCGGAUCGCUCGAAUUGAAUUCAGCCCACACCAGUUUAGCAAAAUGAUACCUUAAGGUGAGAUGUGUGGCAGUCUCAGGGACCUGGUAGCAAAGAUAAUAUUUGUCAUCAUGAUUCCAACCACGAUUCUGUAGUCUGUCAGCUGCCCAUACUAAGGAGGUUAUGGUGGAAGUCUAUGUACCACUAGUGGAAAACAGGCCAUUUGAUCCGGGUGGUAAGAGCCUUUUGUCGCGGGCGGCCAGCCGCGACAAGAGAGGCGCGACAAAAGGGUCAAGCUUUUGUCCCGGGUCGCUUACGACCCGCGACAUAAGGUCCACCACGUGGCAGCCGCGGGGCGCGCAGGGCACAGGCCCUUUUGUCGCGGACGGUAUUACCACCCACGACAAAAGGCCCUCUACGUGGCGCGCGCACAACGCUGCUGCUUUAGGGUUUGAGGGGUGCAGCACCCCUCCCCCCGCCACCGACCGCCUGUUAUUUCAUUUUUUUCGUUCGAAAAUAAAAGUUGCAUAUAUUUGUACGCUACUAGAAGUUGUACACGUUCAUUCAUUAUAUAUAUAUAUAGAUCGAUCAAACAA
Long non-coding RNA from Lolium perenne, 2037 nucleotides. RefSeq lists it as uncharacterized. NCBI's taxonomy places the organism in Eukaryota, Viridiplantae, Streptophyta, Magnoliopsida, Poales, Poaceae. The record is from RefSeq and is a predicted model, not a curated record.